Molecule: ribosomal RNA, 470 nt
Filed under: uncultured bacterium
Lineage: Bacteria
Description: bacterial SSU rRNA
Rfam family: Bacterial small subunit ribosomal RNA
Source: RNAcentral
GUGCUUAACACAUGCAAGUCGAACGAUGAAGCUGGAGCUUGCUCCGGUGGAUUAGUGGCGAACGGGUGAGUAACACGUGAGCAAUCUGCCCUUGACUCUGGGAUAACUGCGGGAAACUGUAGCUAAUACCGCAUACGCCCUACGGGGAAAGGGGGGGAUCGCAAGACCUCUCACUAUUGGAGCGGCCGAUAUCGGAUUAGCUAGUUGGUGAGGUAAAGGCUCACCAAGGCGACGAUCCGUAGCUGGUUUGAGAGGACGACCAGCCACACUGGGACUGAGACACGGCCCAGACUCCUACGGGAGGCAGCAGUGGGGAAUUUUGGACAAUGGGCGCAAGCCUGAUCCAGCAAUGCCGCGUGCAGGAAGAAGGCCUUCGGGUUGUAAACUGCUUUUGUACGGAGCGAAACGGUCUUUCCUAAUACGAGAGGCUAAUGACGGUACCGUAAGAAUAAGCACCGGCUAACUACGUG